This is a long non-coding RNA of Zophobas morio, 716 nucleotides long. RefSeq lists it as uncharacterized. The record is from RefSeq and is a predicted model, not a curated record. Lineage: Eukaryota; Metazoa; Arthropoda; Insecta; Coleoptera; Tenebrionidae. The transcript is spliced from 2 exons.
AGCGUAACAAAAUAUUGCUGUUGUGCUGGUUGUUCGUUUUAAUAUUAGCAUUGUAUAUACUUAAACAAUGGUCAUACUAUACAGGGUUGCCAGGUUUGGCUGUGGUCUUUGAUCAAUUCAAUCUUCAAUCGCAAUGUUUUUUCGUCAGAUUCGAUAAUCCGUUACUCGUUAGUUUGAUUCGUUUAUGUGGAUGUGUUGGUACUUAUGGAGGAAGCGAAUGUAGCGAAUGUAAACCAAAUGCGAAUGCCUUGUGUCGUUUACAAUCAGGAGACAAUAGGAAGAGCACAUCAAUUAUUCGUCGAAAAUUGUUUGCCUGAAUUUUUUGUGGCCCACGUUGAAGUGGUUAAAUGUCCCGCCAAGACGCCUUGUCGAUGGUUGGUAGCCUAUAAGUUUCGAGAUGACCAUCGUGAGUAUGCAGGAGGAGAUUUUGCUAAACGAUUGGUUAGAAGAUUUGAUGCAGCGAAACCGCGGGGUACUAAUAUAAUGAAACCGGCAAUACAUCUUUUCAUGAGCCUUAAUGAUGGUCCUCGUUAUAUGAUAAAUUACGGGGUUCUUUGCAAUUGUGAAUACAAUGAAAUAUUUUUUGGUGCAGGUGACGACGGCCCAUUCAACGUUAAUGAGCUUCCUAUGUGGGCAUAGAGAAAUCGGUAAAAUGUGUAAAUUGUGCUUUUCUAAUGUACGUAAUUAUUUCAAAUAAAGUAUUCAUCUAUUUUUCA